This 29-nucleotide small RNA is filed under the name Bombyx mori (domestic silkworm). RNAcentral's name for it is "ovarian small RNA-13351". Lineage: Eukaryota; Metazoa; Arthropoda; Insecta; Lepidoptera; Bombycidae. The record is from RNAcentral.
CAGUCGUGUUUACAUUUGAUGGACAGGUU